This 460-nucleotide ribosomal RNA is filed under the name uncultured bacterium. RNAcentral describes it as "bacterial SSU rRNA". It matches the Rfam family "Bacterial small subunit ribosomal RNA", at positions 977 to 1434 of the family's 1533-position model. The record is from RNAcentral.
GGGCUUGACAUCCCACGAACCUGCCCGAAAGGGUCGGGUGCCCGCAAGGGAGCGUGGAGACAGGUGGUGCAUGGCUGUCGUCAGCUCGUGUCGUGAGAUGUUGGGUUAAGUCCCGCAACGAGCGCAACCCUCACCCCUUGUUGCCACCGGGUCAUGCCGAGCACUCUAGGGGAACUGCCAGCGUCAAGCUGGAGGAAGGCGGGGAUGACGUCAAGUCAUCAUGCCCCUUACACCCUGGACAACACACGUGCUACAAUGGUUGGUACAAAGGGACGCAAGACCGCGAGGUGGAGCUAAUCCCAAAAAACCAGUCUAAGUUCAGAUUGCAGUCUGCAACUCGACUGCAUGAAGGAGGAAUCGCUAGUAAUCGCGCAUCAGCACGGCGCGGUGAAUACGUUCCCGGGCCUUGUACACACCGCCCGUCACACCACGAAAGCCGGCUGUACUCGAAGUCGCUGAG